Oncorhynchus tshawytscha (Chinook salmon) is the source of this 316-nucleotide long non-coding RNA. The record is from Ensembl. NCBI's taxonomy places the organism in Eukaryota, Metazoa, Chordata, Actinopteri, Salmoniformes, Salmonidae.
CUGAAAAACCCAACUCCAAAAAGGAAUGUCGUCACCUUUUUUUGAACGCUUGCUCCUUUUUGGACUUACAGGAGCAAAUCAAAUAUAAUGAUUUGACAUUUCUAUGUGCAGAAAUGUUUUUGUCUUUAUUUUAGCAGGACAGGUCCUGCAUAUCAAACAACAUCAAUGCUGGGGAGAGAGCGGAGACCCUUUAGGUCACCAGGCUGCUCGUUAUGGAGCACACCUGUCACCAUCGUUACAACCACCUGCGCGUCAUCAAACUCACCUGGACUCCCUCACUUCCUGUUUACCUGCCCUAUAUAGAGUAUGUCACUCC